GGAUUGCCCCAGUAACGGCGAGUGAAGCGGCAACAGCUCAAAUUUGAAAUCUGGCCCUUGGGUCCGAGUUGUAAUUUGUAGAGGAUGCUUUUGGCGAGGUGCCUUCCGAGUUCCCUGGAACGGGACGCCAUAGAGGGUGAGAGCCCCGUCUGGUCGGACACCGAGCCUCUGUAAAGCUCCUUCGACGAGUCGAGUAGUUUGGGAAUGCUGCUCAAAAUGGGAGGUAUAUGUCUUCUAAAGCUAAAUAUUGGCCAGAGACCGAUAGCGCACAAGUAGAGUGAUCGAAAGAUGAAAAGCACUUUGAAAAGAGGGUUAAAAAGUACGUGAAAUUGUUGAAAGGGAAGCGCCUAUGACCAGACUUGGGCCCGGUGAAUCAUCCAGCGUUCUCGCUGGUGCACUUUGCCGGGCACAGGCCAGCAUCAGUUUGGCGCGGGGGAAAAAGGCUUUGGGAAUGUGGCUCCCUCGGGAGUGUUAUAGCCCAUUGUGUAAUACCCUGCGCCGGACUGAGGUACGCGCAUUGCAAGGAUGCUGGCGUAA
This 537-nucleotide ribosomal RNA is filed under the name Akanthomyces lecanii. RNAcentral's name for it is "partial 28S ribosomal RNA". It matches the Rfam family "Eukaryotic large subunit ribosomal RNA", at positions 72 to 634 of the family's 3401-position model. The record is from RNAcentral. Lineage: Eukaryota; Fungi; Ascomycota; Sordariomycetes; Hypocreales; Cordycipitaceae.